Molecule: ribosomal RNA, 143 nt
Filed under: uncultured bacterium
Lineage: Bacteria
Description: partial 16S ribosomal RNA
Rfam family: Bacterial small subunit ribosomal RNA
Source: RNAcentral
CAGCAGUAGGGAAUAUUGCUCAAUGGGGGAAACCCUGAAGCAGCAACGCCGCGUGGAGGAUGAAGGUUUUCGGAUUGUAAACUCCUUUUGUUAGAGAAGAUAAUGACGGUAUCUAACGAAUAAGCACCGGCUAACUCCGUGCC